AUAAUUUUUAACUUAAUAUAUUUGACUUAUAAAUAUAUAAUAUAAUUAAUUUUAUUGUUAAAGUAAAUUUCACUAAAAAAAUUUAUGUUUUGAACUGAAAAGGUUAAUUUAAAAUUAAAAUUUUAUUAAGUAAAAUUUUUUUUGUACCUUUUGUAUCAGGGUAAAUUAAUAAAAUAUAAAAAUUUAUAUUUCCCGAAUUAUAAUGAUUUAAAUUAAAUUAUAAAUUAUUGUUGUAUAAAUAUUUAAAAAUUUAUUUUAGUAAUGAUAUUUUAUCAGAUUAUAUGAUAUCUGGUUUUUCAAGAAGUGAAUUCAAUUCAAGAUUAAUUUAUAUAAUUUAUAUGUUUAUUAUAAAUUAUUAUUUUAAUCCUAUUAUAAUAAGGAUUAGCUAAUUAUAAAUAAUUAUAUGAUUAUUAAUAAAUAAUAUUUAUUUAGGCUUAUAAACAGUCAAUAUAGAGUAAGUUAAAUUUCAUAUUUUAUUAUAUUUUAUUUUCUUAUCAUUAAAUUUUUAUUGAUAAAUUUUUAAUUAAAUUAUUUUUUUAAAUUUAUAAUGAUUUAAUUAGUAUAAAUAAGAAUUUUUUUUUAUGAAUUAAGCAAAUUAAAAUUUUCACCUGUUUAUCAAAAACAUGUCUUUUAGAAAAAAAUUGAAAGUCUAAUCUGCCCAAUGAUUUUUUAUUAAAUGGCCGCAGUAAUCUGACUGUGCGAAGGUAGCAUAAUAAUUAGUCUUUUAAUUGAAGGCUUGAAUGAACGAUUGGAUGAGAAAUUUACUUUAUUAAUUUAAAUCUUUUAAUUUAAUUUUUAGGUUAAAAAGCCUAAAUAAUUAAGUUGGACGAGAAGACCCUAUAGAACUUUAAAAUAUUAAUAUUUAUUUAAAAUUAGAAUUUUUAUUUAAAUAAGCAUUUAUAUUUUUAUGUUGGGGUGACAUUAAAAAAUGUAUAACUUUAAAUAUAUUUAACAUUGAUAUAUGUACAUAAUGAUCCAAUGAAAUAUUGAUUAAAAGAAAAAGUUACCUUAGGGAUAACAGCGUUAUUAUUUUUUAGAGUUCAUAUCAAUAAAAUAGUUUGCGACCUCGAUGUUGGAUUAAGAAUAUGAUUUGGAGCAAAAUCUAAAUUUAUAAGUCUGUUCGACUUUUAAAUUCUUACAUGAUCUGAGUUCAAACCGGCGUGAGCCAGGUUGGUUUCUAUCCACUUCAAUUUUAUUAAUAUUAGUACGAAAGGACCAUAUUAAUUAAUUUAAUUAU
The sequence is a ribosomal RNA, 1237 nucleotides long. The stretch from base 821 to 1186 matches the Rfam family "Archaeal large subunit ribosomal RNA", at positions 2151 to 2715 of the family's 2987-position model.